RNAcentral lists this ribosomal RNA (227 nucleotides) under uncultured bacterium. RNAcentral's name for it is "partial 16S ribosomal RNA". It matches the Rfam family "Bacterial small subunit ribosomal RNA", at positions 568 to 793 of the family's 1533-position model. The record is from RNAcentral.
CAUGUAGGCGGUUCUGUAAGUCUGAUGUGAAAGCACGCAGCUUAACUGCGAUGUUGCGUUGGAAACUGCAGGACUUGAAUCCGAGAGGGGUGUGUGGAAUUCCUAGUGUAGGGGUGGAAAUCUGUUGAUAUUAGGAAGAACACCAGAGGCGAAGGCGACACACUGGCUCUGGAUUGACGCUGAGGUGCGAAAGCGUAGGUAGCGAACAGGAUUAGAUACCCUGGUAG